AACGCUGGCGGCGUGCCUAAUACAUGCAAGUCGAGCGAACAGACGAGGAGCUUGCUCCUCUGACGUUAGCGGCGGACGGGUGAGUAACACGUGGAUAACCUACCUAUAAGACUGGGAUAACUUCGGGAAACCGGAGCUAAUACCGGAUAAUAUAUUGAACCGCAUGGUUCAAUAGUGAAAGACGGUUUUGCUGUCACUUAUAGAUGGAUCCGCGCCGCAUUAGCUAGUUGGUAAGGUAACAGCUUACCAAGGCAACGAUGCGUAGCCGACCUGAGAGGGUGAUCGGCCACACUGGAACUGAGACACGGUCCAGACUCCUACGGGAGGCAGCAGUAGGGAAUCUUCCGCAAUGGGCGAAAGCCUGACGGAGCAACGCCGCGUGAGUGAUGAAGGUCUUCGGAUCGUAAAACUCUGUUAUUAGGGAAGAACAAAUGUGUAAGUAACUAUGCACGUCCUGACGGUACCUAAUCAGAAAGCCACGGCUAACUACGUG
RNAcentral lists this ribosomal RNA (493 nucleotides) under uncultured bacterium. Its description in RNAcentral is "partial 16S ribosomal RNA". It matches the Rfam family "Bacterial small subunit ribosomal RNA", at positions 32 to 507 of the family's 1533-position model. The record is from RNAcentral.